Molecule: long non-coding RNA, 1721 nt
Filed under: Mus musculus (house mouse)
Lineage: Eukaryota; Metazoa; Chordata; Mammalia; Rodentia; Muridae
Description: long non-coding RNA chr9:68763670-68765391
Source: RNAcentral
AGUAUGACUGGGAAAGGGCUUUCGAUAGACUAGACCCUUGUGUCAAAUGGAGCAAAGACUUUGCCUGCGCUGCCACAAAGCCAGUGGGGCUUCAUAUAAGUCAGCUCUCUGGCUGAAUCCCAGUUCCCUCGAAUUUAAAAGUCUGGAAUAGACACUUCCCAGCACAUCCUAGCUCUGUGGUCCUCUGUCUGGAAUAAUGGCCACCGUGGCAUCUGUCCACAUUGCCCUUCCCUUAGAAGCUGUACCUAGUUCCUGCUCUUCCCCACAGUGGAACCGAGCCCCUCCCCCAUUGCCCAUUGUAGGACCAUCAGCACAGAGCAGGGAAAUGAAGAAUAAGAGGGAGCAAUAUCACACUAACUUUCCAGCCACAGCAGCAGAGGCUGGCUGGAGAGAGACCGGAGUUCUCCGAGGGCACAGAACUGCUGAGCCGCCAGCCGGAAACCCUGGUUACUCUCUUGCAAACAGCAAGAGAGGUGAUCCAGAAAUACCAAGCAAAUAUUUUUCCUCUUACAUGUGGUUCUUAUUUCCCUGGUGUUUCUAGGCAGUAUUAGCUGUAUGCUGAAGCGACCCAUCUUAUAUUGCUCAGGAUCUCAUAUACACAGGCAUGAUGGUAUUAUGAUAUUAUCACUUUUAAUGCUACCAUAAUUUUAUAGCCUGUGGUAUGUAUAUAGGGGUCCUUAUUAUAACAUCUACUUGGGCCUUUUUAUCAGGCGUCAUCCUUUCUCUGUUGUCAGCUACAUUGCUGAGGGCUUUGAGGGCUUCCUUUAAUGCCGUCACUCUAUGGUCUCAGGUUCUGAAUUGUCAUUUUCUGCUUUUGUACGGUUUCCUUUCGCUCCUAUGAGCUUCGUUACCUGCUCGUGAAGAAUGUGGCUCCUUGGAAGUCAGGACAGCGGGCAGCCCCAGCCCUGCCCAGGGUCUUGUUAGGAGUGUAUCUCCUCUCAUCCUCAGCAUGACAGAUUUGAGGUUCUGGUGCACAUGGAAGCCGAAACGAAUUGCUGAGAUGAGACCCCAAAGACAAAGAGACGUGUGAGUGGCUAAGUGUUUCAAGGGGCAAUUUAAUCAUUGCUGACUUCGGACUUUCUGGGUUGCAGAAAUUGUCCCUGUAGCAGCAGAGGCUCUGUCUUUUAGACAUUGUUAGAGCCUGAAUCACAGUGGGGGAGUGGGCUUCCAAAGUUAUGGGAUGGUAUUUUUGUAAUUUCCCUUCAGAAAGGAUGCUGUCUGAAUCUCUCUCAGGAGCUAAGCACAUCCCUGCACUGCAUACAGCCCUCAGCUCUGCCUCCUGCUAGCACUCUACCCUGGGGCAAGAGAGGGACCUCUCUAAACCCAAGUUCCCUCUUCUAGAAUAGCGUGGCUGUGACUUAGUUUAUUUUACUUCAUAACCUGAGGGAUUAGAGACAAUGAUAUUUUUUAAGAGCACUAACAAACCCUUCAUUAUAUCUUAGUUAUUUUUAUUCAAUCGCUUUACUAGAUCAUAAAAUAUAAUGCUUUAGGGCCUAGGGAGUUGGCUCGGUUGAAACAACGCUUGCCUCAUGAGCAUGAAGACAUGAGUUUGAAGCCCUCCCCAGAACCCACAGUUAAGUCAGAUGUGGUGGUGUGCACCAGGGAAGUGGAAACAUAUGGAUCCUGGAGCUCACGGAUCAGACAGGCCGGCUCAACUGGGGGAUCCCUGGUAAAAUCAAGAGACUUUGUUUCUUCACAAACAAACAAACAAAUGAAUGAAC